RNAcentral lists this long non-coding RNA (542 nucleotides) under Cyanistes caeruleus (blue tit). Its description in RNAcentral is "lncRNA (ENSCCEG00000007007.1)". Lineage: Eukaryota; Metazoa; Chordata; Aves; Passeriformes; Paridae. The record is from RNAcentral.
GGAUGAACAUGUUAACCCUUUCCUUGCCACACCCAAUUAAGCUCCCAACUGUUGGUUCCUGCUCUUCAGCUCCAUCCAAGGAGGUGAAUACUGGCUGUAUAACAACCUGGCUAUAACCACCAUGCCAAAUUCUGCUGUGCUAUUGGUUUGUUAGAUAUAGGAAGGUGUUGACAAGAGCAAAAAUGUUGCUUGAUUGUUGAGAAAAUGCCUCUGUGAGAGGUUUUAAUGGCUUCUUCCACUCACAUGAAGAUAAUAAAUACAGAAGUGAUAAUUUCCUGUGUGCAAGAGGCCUGGUCCACAGCCAUGGGAUCGUGGCAAGCUUCCACAGGGAAAACUCACCACAGGAAAACUGCAAACUGCACCCUUUUAUAGACCUUGGAGGGAGGAAUGGCUGGGAGAAGCUAAAGGAAUACCACAGAUGAAACUAAAAGGUACUAUAAAUAUUUUUUAUUUGCAUCAGUAUUCAGAUAAUAUUAACUGAAAACAGAGUCUCAUUAUCAGGUGCAAUUUACCAUCCAUAGUAAAAGAGAAUUUCUGUCCAA